RNAcentral lists this ribosomal RNA (433 nucleotides) under uncultured bacterium. Its description in RNAcentral is "partial 16S ribosomal RNA". It matches the Rfam family "Bacterial small subunit ribosomal RNA", at positions 29 to 507 of the family's 1533-position model. The record is from RNAcentral.
AACGAACGCUGGCGGCAUGCCUAACACAUGCAAGUCGAACGAAACCUUCGGGUCUAGUGGCGCACGGCGGCGUAACGCGGGGGAACCUGCCCUUGGGUUCGGAAUAACUCCCCGAAAGGGGUGCUAAUACCGGAUAGUGUCUUCGGACCAAAGAUUUAUCGCCUUUGGAUGGGCCCGCGUUGGAUUCGCUAGUUGGUAGGGGAAAAGCCUACCAAGGGGACGAUCCAUAGCUGGUCUGAGAGGAUGAUCAGCCACACUGGGAAUGAGACACGGCCCAGACUCCUACGGGAGGGAGCAGUGGGGAAUAUUGGACAAUGGGCGAAAGCCUGAUCCAGCAAUGCCGCGUGAGUGAUGAAGGCCUUAGGGUUGUAAAGCUCUUUUACCCGGGAUGAUAAUGACAGUACCGGGAGAAUAAGCUCCGGCUAACUCCGUG